This 283-nucleotide ribosomal RNA is filed under the name Holdemanella biformis DSM 3989. RNAcentral describes it as "partial 16S ribosomal RNA". It matches the Rfam family "Bacterial small subunit ribosomal RNA", at positions 493 to 776 of the family's 1533-position model. Lineage: Bacteria; Bacillati; Bacillota; Erysipelotrichia; Erysipelotrichales; Erysipelotrichaceae. The record is from RNAcentral.
UCUGUUCCUUGUGUGCAGCCGCCGCGGUAAUACGUAGGUGGCGAGCGUUAUCCGGAAUGAUUGGGCGUAAAGGGUGCGUAGGUGGCAGAUCAAGUCUGGAGUAAAAGGUAUGGGCUCAACCCGUACUGGCUCUGGAAACUGAUCAGCUAGAGAACAGAAGAGGACGGCGGAACUCCAUGUGUAGCGGUAAAAUGCGUAGAUAUAUGGAAGAACACCGGUGGCGAAGGCGGCCGUCUGGUCUGGAUUCUGACACUGAAGCACGAAAGCGUGGGGAGCAAAUAGG